UGAUUUAGCCGUAAAUGCAUCUCACAGUAAAAACAGAAUGAACAAAGAUUUCAGAAAAUUCAGUUUGCCAUGAUGAUAACUGCACGUAUGUGCCUAGAUCUACUCUAGCAUACUUGUCAAUUUGCUCUGCAUGUUGCUUACAUUGCUGGUUUUGUGUUGUUAAGGUUGACAAAGCAUUUGAAAACGUGAAACCUGCAUCGGUGCCUUUGUUGACUCCAAUGUGUCAAAAGUAAAUUCCUUGCUGUUUUUUGAAGUCUCGUCGGAGGUUCGACAGUGCCUUCAAAGAAUGUCAUUGAAGUGUGUUUGGUGUGUGAAUAACAUUUUUGAUGCCAUGUGUCGUCUGUCUGUGCAUGGGGUGUGACAUUGUCAAGAGUGAAAUGUCAUAAAUUAGUGCAAUCUGUUUUGAAAAUCUUAUUAUUA
This is a long non-coding RNA of Aplysia californica (California sea hare), 420 nucleotides long. RefSeq lists it as uncharacterized. Lineage: Eukaryota; Metazoa; Mollusca; Gastropoda; Aplysiida; Aplysiidae. The transcript is spliced from 2 exons. The record is from RefSeq and is a predicted model, not a curated record.